GGGUUGUGAGGUUAAGCGACUAAGCGUACACGGUGGAUGCCCUGGCAGUCAGAGGCGAUGAAGGACGUGCUAAUCUGCGAUAAGCGUCGGUAAGGUGAUAUGAACCGUUAUAACCGGCGAUUUCCGAAUGGGGAAACCCAGUGUGUUUCGACACACUAUCAUUAACUGAAUCCAUAGGUUAAUGAGGCGAACCGGGGGAACUGAAACAUCUAAGUACCCCGAGGAAAAGAAAUCAACCGAGAUUCCCCCAGUAGCGGCGAGCGAACGGGGAGCAGCCCAGAGCCUGAAUCAGUGUGUGUGUUAGUGGAAGCGUCUGGAAAGGCGCGCGAUACAGGGUGACAGCCCCGUACACAAAAAUGCACAUGCUGUGAGCUCGAUGAGUAGGGCGGGACACGUGGUAUCCUGUCUGAAUAUGGGGGGACCAUCCUCCAAGGCUAAAUACUCCUGACUGACCGAUAGUGAACCAGUACCGUGAGGGAAAGGCGAAAAGAACCCCGGCGAGGGGAGUGAAAAAGAACCUGAAACCGUGUACGUACAAGCAGUGGGAGCACGCUUAGGCGUGUGACUGCGUACCUUUUGUAUAAUGGGUCAGCGACUUAUAUUCUGUAGCAAGGUUAACCGAAUAGGGGAGCCGAAGGGAAACCGAGUCUUAACUGGGCGUUAAGUUGCAGGGUAUAGACCCGAAACCCGGUGAUCUAGCCAUGGGCAGGUUGAAGGUUGGGUAACACUAACUGGAGGACCGAACCUACUAAUGUUGAAAAAUUAGCGGAUGACUUGUGGCUGGGGGUGAAAGGCCAAUCAAACCGGGAGAUAGCUGGUUCUCCCCGAAAGCUAUUUAGGUAGCGCCUCGUGAAUUCAUCUCCGGGGGUAGAGCACUGUUUCGGCAAGGGGGUCAUCCCGACUUACCAACCCGAUGCAAACUGCGAAUACCGGAGAAUGUUAUCACGGGAGACACACGGCGGGUGCUAACGUCCGUCGUGAAGAGGGAAACAACCCAGACCGCCAGCUAAGGUCCCAAAGUCAUGGUUAAGUGGGAAACGAUGUGGGAAGGCCCAGACAGCCAGGAUGUUGGCUUAGAAGCAGCCAUCAUUUAAAGAAAGCGUAAUAGCUCACUGGUCGAGUCGGCCUGCGCGGAAGAUGUAACGGGGCUAAACCAUGCACCGAAGCUGCGGCAGCGACACUAUGUGUUGUUGGGUAGGGGAGCGUUCUGUAAGCCUGUGAAGGUGUGCUGUGAGGCAUGCUGGAGGUAUCAGAAGUGCGAAUGCUGACAUAAGUAACGAUAAAGCGGGUGAAAAGCCCGCUCGCCGGAAGACCAAGGGUUCCUGUCCAACGUUAAUCGGGGCAGGGUGAGUCGACCCCUAAGGCGAGGCCGAAAGGCGUAGUCGAUGGGAAACAGGUUAAUAUUCCUGUACUUGGUGUUACUGCGAAGGGGGGACGGAGAAGGCUAUGUUGGCCGGGCGACGGUUGUCCCGGUUUAAGCGUGUAGGCUGGUUUUCCAGGCAAAUCCGGAAAAUCAAGGCUGAGGCGUGAUGACGAGGCACUACGGUGCUGAAGCAACAAAUGCCCUGCUUCCAGGAAAAGCCUCUAAGCAUCAGGUAACAUCAAAUCGUACCCCAAACCGACACAGGUGGUCAGGUAGAGAAUACCAAGGCGCUUGAGAGAACUCGGGUGAAGGAACUAGGCAAAAUGGUGCCGUAACUUCGGGAGAAGGCACGCUGAUAUGUAGGUGAAGUCCCUCGCGGAUGGAGCUGAAAUCAGUCGAAGAUACCAGCUGGCUGCAACUGUUUAUUAAAAACACAGCACUGUGCAAACACGAAAGUGGACGUAUACGGUGUGACGCCUGCCCGGUGCCGGAAGGUUAAUUGAUGGGGUUAGCCGCAAGGCGAAGCUCUUGAUCGAAGCCCCGGUAAACGGCGGCCGUAACUAUAACGGUCCUAAGGUAGCGAAAUUCCUUGUCGGGUAAGUUCCGACCUGCACGAAUGGCGUAAUGAUGGCCAGGCUGUCUCCACCCGAGACUCAGUGAAAUUGAACUCGCUGUGAAGAUGCAGUGUACCCGCGGCAAGACGGAAAGACCCCGUGAACCUUUACUAUAGCUUGACACUGAACAUUGAGCCUUGAUGUGUAGGAUAGGUGGGAGGCUUAGAAGUGUGGACGCCAGUCUGCAUGGAGCCGACCUUGAAAUACCACCCUUUAAUGUUUGAUGUUCUAACGUUGACCCGUAAUCCGGGUUGCGGACAGUGUCUGGUGGGUAGUUUGACUGGGGCGGUCUCCUCCUAAAGAGUAACGGAGGAGCACGAAGGUUGGCUAAUCCUGGUCGGACAUCAGGAGGUUAGUGCAAUGGCAUAAGCCAGCUUGACUGCGAGCGUGACGGCGCGAGCAGGUGCGAAAGCAGGUCAUCGUGAUCCGGUGGUUCUGAAUGGAAGGGCCAUCGCUCAACGGAUAAAAGGUACUCCGGGGAUAACAGGCUGAUACCGCCCAAGAGUUCAUAUCGACGGCGGUGUUUGGCACCUCGAUGUCGGCUCAUCACAUCCUGGGGCUGAAGUAGGUCCCAAGGGUAUGGCUGUUCGCCAUUUAAAGUGGUACGCGAGCUGGGUUUAGAACGUCGUGAGACAGUUCGGUCCCUAUCUGCCGUGGGCGCUGGAGAACUGAGGGGGGCUGCUCCUAGUACGAGAGGACCGGAGUGGACGCAUCACUGGUGUUCGGGUUGUCAUGCCAAUGGCACUGCCCGGUAGCUAAAUGCGGAAGAGAUAAGUGCUGAAAGCAUCUAAGCACGAAACUUGCCCCGAGAUGAGUUCUCCCUGACUCCUUGAGAGUCCUGAAGGAACGUUGAAGACGACGACGUUGAUAGGCCGGGUGUGUAAGCGCAGCGAUGCGUUGAGCUAACCGGUACUAAUGAACCGUGAGGCUUAACCUUACAACGCCGAAGGUGUUU
Molecule: ribosomal RNA, 2932 nt
Filed under: Escherichia coli
Lineage: Bacteria; Pseudomonadati; Pseudomonadota; Gammaproteobacteria; Enterobacterales; Enterobacteriaceae
Description: bacterial LSU rRNA
Rfam family: Bacterial large subunit ribosomal RNA
Source: RNAcentral